GACGUAGGAGGCGAGCGUUGUCCGGAUUCAUUGGGCGUAAAGAGCACGCAGGCGGUUUGGCAAGUCGGAUGUGAAAACCCGAAGCUCAACCUCGGGCGUGCAUCCGAAACUGCCCGACUAGAGGUAGGUAGGGGAGAUCGGAAUUCCUGGUGUAGCGGUGAAAUGCGCAGAUAUCAGGAGGAACACCGGUGGCGAAGGCGGAUCUCUGGGCCUUACCUGACGCUCAGGUGCGAAAGCUAGGGGAGCGAACAGG
Molecule: ribosomal RNA, 253 nt
Filed under: uncultured bacterium
Lineage: Bacteria
Description: partial 16S ribosomal RNA
Rfam family: Bacterial small subunit ribosomal RNA
Source: RNAcentral